AUACGGGGGGUGCAAGCGUUGUCCGGAAUCAUUGGGCGUAAAGGGUUCGUAGGUGGAAUUAUAAGUCUGGUGUGAAAGCCCACAGCUCAACUGUGGAACUGCACUGGAUACUGUUUUUCUUGAGUUAUAGAGGGGUUUGUGGAAUUUCUGGUGUAGAGGUGAAAUUUGUAGAGAUCAGAAAGAACACCGGUGGCGAAGGCGACAAACUGGCUAUUAACUGACACUGAGGAACGAAAGCGAGGGGAGCGAACAGGAUUAGAUACCCUAGUAGUCC
Molecule: ribosomal RNA, 274 nt
Filed under: uncultured bacterium
Lineage: Bacteria
Description: partial 16S ribosomal RNA
Rfam family: Bacterial small subunit ribosomal RNA
Source: RNAcentral